UACGGAGGAUGCAAGCGUUAUCCGGAAUGAUUGGGCGUAAAGCGUCCGCAGGUGGCAGUGUAAGUCUGCUGUUAAAGAGCAAAGCUUAACUUUGUAAAAGCAGUGGAAACUACACAGCUAGAGUACGGUCGGGGCAGAGGGAAUUCCUGGUGUAGCGGUGAAAUGCGUAGAGAUCAGGAAGAACACCGGUGGCGAAGGCGCUCUGCUAGGCCUGUACUGACACUGAGGGACGAAAGCUAGGGGAGCGAAUGGG
RNAcentral lists this ribosomal RNA (253 nucleotides) under uncultured bacterium. RNAcentral's name for it is "partial 16S ribosomal RNA". It matches the Rfam family "Bacterial small subunit ribosomal RNA", at positions 524 to 776 of the family's 1533-position model. The record is from RNAcentral.